UUGAGCUCUCGAAAAAUCCAAAAUCUUCCUGGCGAUUUCGCCUUCCCGGCACCCAAGCCGACAGCCAUCAUUUUAUCAUCUCUCGUAAUUUUCGCCGCGUGUCGGUCGACAGACCGCCGCGCGUGCUCUGACUGCGUGCCGCAAUCGCCGCUGGCGUCCCCUUUCUUUUUCUCUUUUUCCUACCAUUUUUUCCUUUUUUCUUUUUCUUUCUGUCUUCCUCUUUUUCCUUCCUUCUUCUUCCAUCUUCCUCCUUCCUUCUUCCUCCUCCUUCUCC
This 274-nucleotide long non-coding RNA is filed under the name Setaria viridis. RNAcentral's name for it is "long non-coding RNA (SVIR_LNC006964)". Lineage: Eukaryota; Viridiplantae; Streptophyta; Magnoliopsida; Poales; Poaceae. The record is from RNAcentral.